RNAcentral lists this ribosomal RNA (516 nucleotides) under uncultured bacterium. RNAcentral's name for it is "bacterial SSU rRNA". It matches the Rfam family "Bacterial small subunit ribosomal RNA", at positions 28 to 536 of the family's 1533-position model. The record is from RNAcentral.
GAUGAACGCUAGCGGGAGGCUUAACACAUGCAAGUCGAGGGGCAGCAUAGGGUAGCAAUACUCUGAUGGCGACCGGCAAACGGGUGAGUAACGCGUAUGCAACCUACCCUGUACAGGGGGAUAACCCGGAGAAAUUCGGACUAAUAUCCCGUAAUAAUAUCCGGAGGCAUCUUUGGAUAUUUAAAGUUCCGACGGUACGGGAUGGGCAUGCGUAACAUUAGCUGGUUGGUAAGGUAACGGCUUACCAAGGCUAUGAUGUUUAGGGGUCCUGAGAGGGUGGUCCCCCACACUGGUACUGAGACACGGACCAGACUCCUACGGGAGGCAGCAGUGAGGAAUAUUGGUCAAUGGGCGCAAGCCUGAACCAGCCAUCCCGCGUGCAGGAAGACGGCCCUAUGGGUUGUAAACUGCUUUUCCAGGGAGAGAAACUUACGCACGUGUUGCGUGACUGACGGUACCCUGGGAAUAAGCAUCGGCUAACUCCGUGCCAGCAGCCGCGGUAAUAGUGUGUGUACG